AGAGUUUGAUCAUGGCUCAGGAUGAACGUGGGCGGUGUGCGUAAUACAUGCAAGUCGAACGGAGAUAAUAGCAAUAUUGUCUUAGUGGCGAACGGGUGAGUAACGCGUUGGUGAUCUGCCCCGAAGUGGGGAAUAACAAUUCGAAAGAAUUGCUAAUACCCCAUGUGAUCUUAGAGAUUUGACGCUCUUUGAUUAAAGGAUUUAUUCGCUUCGGGAGGAGCCUGCGUCCCAUCAGCUAGUUGGUAAGGUAAUGGCUUACCAAGGCGAUGACGGGUAGGGGACCUGAGAGGGUGGCCCCCCACAAUGGAACUGAAACACGGUCCAUACACCUACGGGUGGCAGCAGUAGGGAAUAUUAGUAAUGGGCGAAAGCCUGAACUAGCAACACCGCGUGUGCGAUGAAGGCCUUCGGGUUGUAAAGCACUUUUAGAGAGGACGAGGAAGGACGGUACUCUCUGAAUAAGUCUCGGCUAACUACGUGCCAGCAGCCGCGGUAAAACGUAGGAGGCGAACGUUAUCCGGAUUUACUGGGCGUAAAGCGCGUGUAGGUGGUUUGGUAAGUAGGGCGUGAAAGCUCCUGGCUCAACUGGGAGAGGUCGUUCUAAACUGCCGGACUAGAGGAUGGUAGAGGGAAGUGGAAUUCCGGGUGUAGCGGUGGAAUGCGCAGAUAUCCGGAGGAACACCAGUGGCGAAAGCGGCUUCCUGGACCAACCCUGACACUCAGACGCGAAAGCUAGGGUAGCAAACGGGAUUAGAGACCCCGGUAGUCCUAGCCGUAAACGAUGUAGACUUGACGUCGGUGGUUUAAUAUCCAUCGGUGUCGUAGCUAACGCGAUAAGUCUACCGCCUGGGGACUACGGCCGCAAGGUUAAAACUCAAAGGAAUUGACGG
RNAcentral lists this ribosomal RNA (890 nucleotides) under Chloroflexi bacterium enrichment culture clone B312144. RNAcentral describes it as "bacterial SSU rRNA". It matches the Rfam family "Bacterial small subunit ribosomal RNA", at positions 8 to 916 of the family's 1533-position model. Lineage: Bacteria; Bacillati; Chloroflexota. The record is from RNAcentral.